GACGAACGCUGGCGGCGUGCUUAACACAUGCAAGUCGAACGGAAAGGCCCCUUUGGGGGUACUCGAGUGGCGAACGGGUGAGUAACACGUGAGUAACCUGCCCUUGACUUCGGGAUAACUUCAGGAAACUGGGGCUAAUACCGGAUAGGAAUCCUUGCUGCAUGGUGGGGGUUGGAAAGCUUCGGCGGUUUUGGAUGGACUCGCGGCUUAUCAGCUUGUUGGUGGGGUAGUGGCUUGCCAAGGCUUUGACGGGUAGCCGGCCUGAGAGGGCGACCGGCCACAUUGGGACUGAGAUACGGCCCAGACUCCUACGGGAGGCAGCAGUGGGGAAUAUUGCACAAUGGGCGGAAGCCUGAUGCAGCAACGCCGCGUGCGGGAUGACGGCCUUCGGGUUGUAAACCGCUUUCAGCAGGGGCGAAGCUUUUGUGACGGUACCUGCAGAAGAAGCACCGGCUAACUACGUG
This 464-nucleotide ribosomal RNA is filed under the name uncultured bacterium. Its description in RNAcentral is "partial 16S ribosomal RNA". It matches the Rfam family "Bacterial small subunit ribosomal RNA", at positions 28 to 507 of the family's 1533-position model. The record is from RNAcentral.